UUAAGUUCAGCGGGUAGUCCUACCUGAUUUGAGGUCAAAGAUUGAAAUAUUGUCCAGAGAGGACGAUUAGAAGCCAGACCACAACGUUCCAAAGACAACCAAGCGUAGAUAAUUAUCACACUAUGUAGCCUAAGUCACAAGUCCAAGCUAAUGCAUUCAAGGGGAGCAGACCGAAUCGAAACGGCCAGCAAGCCCCCAAA
This 200-nucleotide unclassified non-coding RNA is filed under the name Peniophorella sp. RNAcentral describes it as "partial internal transcribed spacer 2". Lineage: Eukaryota; Fungi; Basidiomycota; Agaricomycetes; Hymenochaetales. The record is from RNAcentral.